This 254-nucleotide ribosomal RNA is filed under the name uncultured bacterium. Its description in RNAcentral is "partial 16S ribosomal RNA". It matches the Rfam family "Bacterial small subunit ribosomal RNA", at positions 524 to 776 of the family's 1533-position model. The record is from RNAcentral.
UACAGAGGGGGCAAGCGUUAUUCGGAAUUAUUGGGCGUAAAGGGCGCGUAGGCGGCUUUUCAAGUGACGGGUGAAAUCCCUCGGCUUAACCGGGGAACUGCGUCUGAUACUGGAUGGCUUGAGUUUGGGAGAGGGAUGCGGAAUUCCAGGUGUAGCGGUGAAAUGCGUAGAUAUCUGGAGGAACACCGGUGGCGAAGGCGGCAUCCUGGACCAACACUGACGCUGAGUGAGCGAAAGCCAGGGGAGCAAACGGG